RNAcentral lists this unclassified non-coding RNA (22 nucleotides) under Mus musculus (house mouse). RNAcentral's name for it is "oocyte_clustered_small_RNA11768". Lineage: Eukaryota; Metazoa; Chordata; Mammalia; Rodentia; Muridae. The record is from RNAcentral.
ACAUUGGCGAGGUCACUGCAGC